Orbicella faveolata is the source of this 2686-nucleotide unclassified non-coding RNA. The record is from RefSeq and is a predicted model, not a curated record. Lineage: Eukaryota; Metazoa; Cnidaria; Anthozoa; Scleractinia; Merulinidae.
GGAAUACUCUGAGUUCAAUAUUCAGUAUUUACCGAUCGACAAGAAGUAUGUUGAUACAUGAAGUAUGUUGAUGUGUGUAAAAUGCGUAUUUACAUUUGACUUCAAAGAAAUUUUUUUUAUUAGAAAUUCGUCGUUCGUUUAGUCUUCCAGGCGUUCAGUUUAUUUGCGCUGCGCUGCAACUAACUCGUUUGUUGCUAUUUGUUAUGCAAAUGAAAUUGUAUAUGCCAUUGUGGCCUAUAUGUUUACUUCACGUCUUUUUCUCGCCUUGGCUUUGCUCGCUCCCAACCAAUCGAGAAGAGUGGAACAUUCGACAAACAGAACUUUCUUUAUUAUACCUCUUAGUUACCACACGCGCUGCGAUUGGUCAAAUUAGCGGGCGUAUUCUGCUCCGCUGUAUGGCCGGCUAAAAGUUUUGUCCGAAUGGCCUCCGGCAAGCCGUUUAACUAUUUAUCACUCUGGUCUAUGGCUGUUCUUGAGCCGUAUUAUUUUGAGCCAAACAUGCUCCAAACCCCCAAAAUGAUAACAGUAGAGACAGUGAAGUGGAUAAUCGUCUGGAAAAAAAUACAUUUUGCUGACCUUGUGACGGAUGUAAAGUCAGUUGCAGGUUUUUCUCUUUCCAGCCAAUUUCGAGUCGGAAGGAAUGACAUCACAUAAACAUAACACGGCUACAGUUUCAAAAUAGCGGCCUCCGAAGUCGCUUCUUUCGAGACGAAUUUCUUCAAGGGAGCAGGCACUUCCGAGGCUGAAGCUGAAUGUUUACUUGCUAUUAGCGAAGACAACCAAAGUAAGCUUUAUGGAGUGACCCUCUCCUUUAAGAACAAAAAGUGCAAGGAAAAGACCUUAAAAACAGAUCGUUCAACAUCACAAACUACAAGUCCAGUCUUGUGGACGACGAAUAUGCCUUCCUCGUCUCGAACUACAAAACGUGAUGGUGUCCACACAAACUGUAUUCUCAAUUUCAUCACCUUCUUCGUCAGACAUUCCAGCCACGUCGUCUAAUGAGCCAAGCUGAUUAUCAGUUUCGGAAUGUGAAUCUUUUUCAUCAUUUAUAAGGGCCGUUACUCCUUCGAAUAGUUACCUCUUCUGUGAAAACUAUCUCUUUUUCUUUUUUCCCAACUGGUACAAUUCGAUCCAAAACAAGAAUCACAGCUUCCUUUGGAAAAUCAACAAUGCAAUAUCUGAUGUAAAGAAAGAUGUUUUCUGAUACACAAUAAAUGUCGACAUUGAAGAAAUGAGACUCGUGUUCAUUUUGAACUAUGGAAGAGGUAACAACUCCGAGAUACUGAAAGGUGACGAGCUUGGGAUUCAUGGAUUCCAGGUACUAUAGUUGCCUUUACUGCGCUGGAGAACAGCCUGAUUUAAGUUUAUGUCUUCUUUCACCAUUUUUUUUUUCGGAUUAAUUACGUUUGCCCUUGUGGUUUCCUUUUCCGUCUUUUCCCAUGGGGACAAAGAAAAAUCAGAAAAACCGUAGCUAACUGAAGCCACUGACUAGUGAUCACUGGUUCGGGAAAGAAACCAGGAGGAUUAUCGCUACGUUGUCGAUCAGCUCUGAUAGGUCAGACCAGACCAACUCUGACAGCUCUGGCCUGCACGCUCGCUUGUCUGCAGUGUAAACGACUAGUCACGAGGGGCCAGUCACGCGACUGUCGCGCCAUAUAUAUCAAAGACCAAAGGUGACUAAUACGGGCAAUUUGAGAUUUUCUGGUUACCGGGCCAACCAUGUGUUACUCUUGUGGACCUCUCACGCGAUGUUUAUUCUGUUAGAGAGCAAACAAGUUUCUUACAUCUACAUCCUUUAUAAGAGAAUACAAUGUAAUUUCUGCAUAGGAAAAAAGAAGUCCAAAGGGGUCAAUAUCGUUGUCUUUUCUAGUGCUUCUCGUGUCGCUGUCGAAUUUUAGCCGCGCAUUCGAUUCGCUUGUCGCUGAUAAGCAAUUCUCGCGUCGUUGGUUUUCAGGGUCGUGUCGCUUGUCGCUUUUACCCCUUGGAAGGGCUAACCAUCAGUGUACACCAAAAACAAUAUCAAUUAGCAUUUAAAAGUUAGCGUCACCGUAUCCAUUGAUAGUCUAUUAACACGGAGCCAAUCACGCAACCUGAAGUGUCCAAAUACCUUAUGAAAGGGAUUGACAUGUGUCGCUCAACAUUUAUUUGUCAGAGACUAAGCAAGGUACGAUCGGUUUGUAAAUUUGAUCCUGACUGUUUCAUUAGUUUCUUGCCGAUUUUUUUUUCUUGAAUUGAGCCGAUUUAAGUCAACAAUGCGUCCAUUGAUUAUUUUACUCAUCGCUAAUACCACUUUGCUGUGCUCCUAUGUCAGUGGAGUUGAUGCAGAUGAUGACGCAGCGUUUGAAAGAGUCGCUGAAUGCAUCUAUAUUUGUACUCAUGCUGACAACGCUGACAAAAACCUACCAGUGGCAACAGUAAUCUGUGAUGCUCACAAGACCGGGUAUGAAUGCAUGACAAGGCCAUUUGAUUCCUCACCGGAUUCAAGCACUGAAAUCUUGGAUAUUUACCGCGCAUAUAUGUUAGAGCUUUUUUUCCUGGCCAAUAAAGCUAACAUGUGCAAUCCACCACUUCCUUACAAGGAACUGAAAGAGCUGGUCGACAAAUCUGGUGAGAUAGAACAUGCAAGGCAAUACUCAGUAACAAAGUGAACCUGGGGUGCUUUCCUUUUCAACCAGCAAAGUGCAGU